This 253-nucleotide ribosomal RNA is filed under the name uncultured bacterium. RNAcentral describes it as "partial 16S ribosomal RNA". It matches the Rfam family "Bacterial small subunit ribosomal RNA", at positions 524 to 776 of the family's 1533-position model. The record is from RNAcentral.
UACGGAGGUUGCAAGCGUUGUUCGGAAUGACUGGGCGUAAAGGGAGCGCAGGCGGCUGUUUAAGUCUGGAGUGAAAGCCCGGGGCUCAACCCCGGCGGGUCUUCGGAUACUGGACAGCUAGAGUACGGAAGAGGAAAGCGGAAUUCCAGGUGUAGCGGUGAAAUGCGUAGAUAUCUGGAGGAACACCGGUGGCGAAAGCGGCUUUCUGGUCCGAUACUGACGCUCAGGCUCGAAAGCGUGGGGAGCAAACGGG